UUUCCCUCUUCUCUCUCUCUCUCUCUCUCUCUCUCUCUCUCUCCUCGGUUGUUCUCGCACCUCCAAACCCUCGCCAUGUGCCAAGGCCACCACCUCCACGCGUCCAUGCGGCGGCCGCCGCCGUCGCCGUCGCCGGAGUCCGGCGGGGCGCAGCCGCCGGCGAGGGAGGCGGAGGCGGCGCCGCUGGCAGCGGCGCGUGCGCGUUUGGCCGAAUCGAUCGCGGCGCUCGAGCGGGAGCGUGCCCGCGCCGCCGCGCUCCGCCGUCGCCUCGCGGAGUCCUACGCCGAGAGGGACCGCCUCAGAGAGGUGCUGGCCACGAUGAGCGCCCUCAAGAGCCGCCUCCGAGAGCUCGUCCGCGUCGGCGGCGACACCACUCCGUAGGGUCUCCGGUAAUGCGCCGUAAAACCCUAACCCUAAUCGCAUCUCAGUUCCACCUCUAUCUCCAGUUACAGAUGUUCAUGUUAGUGUUUGGUUAUAGCUAGUCACAUUGCUCCGGAUGUUGUUAAGCAUUUUUAUCUGGUUAUUGAUUUCCACGAACUCAUUUAUCGUGCUAUGCGUGGAAAAGGCGAUGACAUGUAGACAAAUUGGAUUAGAGUGAUAUAAUGUAAUGAGAUUGCUUGGUUUUGUAGACUUAUCAAAUUCAUGUAGAUUGCGUGUUGUGUAUGUGAAACUCUAUUUGGCAUCCAAUAGAAGAUUUAAUUGAGUUGAUUCUCAAUACAAUGAAAUCAAAUUAAUUGGAUUUCAAGGUGAAUUCUUCUGUUUGGAAUGCAAUGUACUGUAUAACCCAUAUGAGAAUCAGUAGGUUAUUUUUGUGUAGAGGAAUAUAUUUAUUCUCGAGAACUUCAAUUCACGGCAACUUGGAUCUCAGAUUGUCUUAUUUGCUAAAACUUGCUGAAUCAUUUUAAACUAUCAGAAAUCAUGUCGAAUCAUCAUAUUUGUGUAGGUUUUCAAACAACUGAUAUAGUGAAAUGUGAUAUGUUAGAGAAUGGGUAGAAAAAUUAAUCACACCGAUUGAAUUAGCAAAGUGCAAGUUUUGGGUCAAAUAGAAAAUUGAAAUGCAUAAUGUGACAAAUGAUUCAAAGGUGGAAAAUACGGUCAAAUAAAAAAAGAAUUUAGCAGAGCAUGCUGUGUACUUAUGUUGAUUGAAAGACCAUUCGAUCUAAAGGAAAAGAAUGCGCGCAUAGAUUCAUUUCAUCUAAACUAAGAGAUGGCAUAUAUAGUCCAGUAAUAAUGCUGCAUUAAUAAAAAGGUAAGAAGAAAGUUUUAAAGCAGCUCUUGCAGCCACGCUUCCAUAAUCAUCUUUCUCCAGCUUCUCUUCCAGGUAGUUGCCCUCAAUCCUGGAGAGAAUUGUCCUUUGUCUAUUCAAGAAAUUAAAAAGGGGCUUAUGGACAAUUCUUAUAUGUAAUUUGGAGAUUUAACAUUGUGCCGUGCUAUUAUUGUUCUCUUUGUUGUGUUAACCUGAUGUGUAAGCUAGUGUCAACAAGAACAGCAACAUCAAUCAUUGUCAACUUCAGAUAUUGGCGACUUUUAAACUGUAUGUUACAAGUAUUUAGUUUGUCUUGCUGAUUAUGAGCAUCAAAGGACCUCUUUUAUGCUGUGUCUGCUACUAGGAGUUUACAUGAGGAUUAACUGAAUACUUCCAAACCCACAGUUUUGCUUGGUGAGAAACUUAAAUAAUUAUUUGGAAGAUGGGGACUUCAAUCUCUGUCAAAACAGGUUCUGACAUCCAUUUUGGAAACUGACUGGUAAUAAAAGCUUGAGCCUUAGACAUAGGCUAUAAGAAGAGCAAACCCUGUAUAUCAUCUCUUGUGGAGUUAAACUUCAUAUGUGAGCAAACCAUUCUUUCUCUAUUUUCAUUACGGCUCUCCAUCAAGCCAUGGCACCUAUUCUCUACCUUGAUGGAUUGAAACUUAUUUAUGAUUCUGGUUAGCAUAUCACUACACGGAUCACUCCAUUGCUUAGUAGUGGAAUACCUAUUUGGAUCUGAUCCACUAAAACCUAUGGCGGUAUCUUUGUAAUUGUUGUUUACCUGCAGAACAAAGCUAUCUGCAUCAUAACGGCGUCUUCUGUCGUCCACCUCUCAAAAUACACUCCGUUCUUCAGCAGCGCAUCAGGUGAGACCAUUGAAAUGGUUUUCUUCUUCAAUUUCCAUUAUUGUUUAUUAGUUUUAGUGCUUGUACGCGGAAUUUGUUUGAUGACCCAUCUUUUAUUCGCUGUUUGCUCUAUUCACUUGUUUAAUUGUACCAAGGUUCCUAUUUCUCAUCCUUUUUAGGAGUUUUCAAUUUACUCACAAUCUCUUAAUUGUUACAAUUGGUUUGGUCAAUUUUGUGUCCCAUCAUGAUCUUAUCUUUUCUCAUCAAAACUCUGGUAAAAUUGGAAGAAAUUAUCCAUGCAAUCGUCAUGUACAAAGUCCAGAAUGGGGCCAAUUGUAACCAUCAGAGGUUUUGAAUAUUGGAUAGUUCUUGCAGUAG
This 2471-nucleotide long non-coding RNA is filed under the name Ananas comosus (pineapple). Its description in RNAcentral is "long non-coding RNA (ACOM_LNC011507)". The record is from RNAcentral. Lineage: Eukaryota; Viridiplantae; Streptophyta; Magnoliopsida; Poales; Bromeliaceae.